RNAcentral lists this ribosomal RNA (834 nucleotides) under uncultured bacterium. Its description in RNAcentral is "bacterial SSU rRNA". It matches the Rfam family "Bacterial small subunit ribosomal RNA", at positions 71 to 921 of the family's 1533-position model. The record is from RNAcentral.
GAGAGGAGCUUGCUUUUCUGAUCUAGUGGCGGACGGGUGAGUAACACGUGAGCAAUCUGCCUUUCAGAGGGGGAUACCGAUUGGAAACGAUCGUUAAUACCGCAUAACAUAAUUGAACCGCAUGAUUUGAUUAUCAAAGAUUUAUCGCUGAAAGAUGAGCUCGCGUCUGAUUAGCUAGUUGGUAAGGUAACGGCUUACCAAGGCGACGAUCAGUAGCCGGACUGAGAGGUUGAUCGGCCACAUUGGGACUGAGACACGGCCCAGACUCCUACGGGAGGCAGCAGUGGGGAAUAUUGCACAAUGGAGGAAACUCUGAUGCAGCGAUGCCGCGUGAGGGAAGAAGGUUUUAGGAUUGUAAACCUCUGUCUUCAGGGACGAAAAAAGACGGUACCUGAGGAGGAAGCUCCGGCUAACUACGUGCCAGCAGCCGCGGUAAUACGUAGGGAGCGAGCGUUGUCCGGAAUUACUGGGUGUAAAGGGAGCGUAGGCGGGAUCGCAAGUCAGAUGUGAAAACUAUGGGCUUAACCCAUAAACUGCAUUUGAAACUGUGGUUCUUGAGUGAAGUAGAGGUAAGCGGAAUUCCUAGUGUAGCGGUGAAAUGCGUAGAUAUUAGGAGGAACAUCAGUGGCGAAGGCGGCUUACUGGGCUUUAACUGACGCUGAGGCUCGAAAGCGUGGGGAGCAAACAGGAUUAGAUACCCUGGUAGUCCACGCCGUANACGAUGAUUACUAGGUGUGGGGGNACUGACCCCUUCCGUGCCGCAGCAAACGCAAUAAGUAAUCCACCUGGGGAGUACGACCGCAAGGUUGAAACUCAAAGGAAUUGACGGGGGCC